CGCACGGGUGCGUAACGCGUAUGCAACCUACCUUAAUCAGGGGGAUAGCCCGAAGAAAUUCGGAUUAACACCGCAUAAAAUCACAGGACAGCAUUGCCCAAUGAUCAAAUAUUUAUAGGAUUAAGAUGGGCAUGCGUGUCAUUAGCUAGUUGGCGGGGUAACGGCCCACCAAGACGACGAUGACUAGGGGAUCUGAGAGGAUGGCCCCCCACACUGGUACUGAGACACGGACCAGACUCCUACGGGAGGCAGCAGUAAGGAAUAUUGGUCAAUGGAGGGAACUCUGAACCAGCCAUGCCGCGUGCAGGAAGACAGCCCUCUGGGUCGUAAACUGCUUUUAUUCGGGAAUAAACCUACUUACGUGUAAGUAGCUGAAUGUACCGAAGGAAUAAGGAUCGGCUAACUCCGUGCCAGCAGCCGCGGUAAUACGGAAGAUCCAAGCGUUAUCCGGAUUUAUUGGGUUUAAAGGGUGCGUAGGCGGCUUAUUAAGUCAGGGGUGAAAGACGGUGGCUCAACCAUCGCAGUGCCCUUGAUACUGAUGAGCUUGAAUACACUAGAGGUAGGCGGAAUGUGACAAGUAGCGGUGAAAUGCAUAGAUAUGUCACAGAACACCGAUUGCGAAGGCAGCUUACUAUGGUGUGAU
Molecule: ribosomal RNA, 643 nt
Filed under: uncultured Pedobacter sp.
Lineage: Bacteria; Pseudomonadati; Bacteroidota; Sphingobacteriia; Sphingobacteriales; Sphingobacteriaceae
Description: bacterial SSU rRNA
Rfam family: Bacterial small subunit ribosomal RNA
Source: RNAcentral